Molecule: small RNA, 425 nt
Filed under: Arabidopsis thaliana (thale cress)
Lineage: Eukaryota; Viridiplantae; Streptophyta; Magnoliopsida; Brassicales; Brassicaceae
Description: ATSL167270
Source: RNAcentral
GUUUAUGAAUCUUAAAACCUUAAUUACCGUUAGUCUAUUUCGGUUUUGCAUUUGAUUGUUUAAGUAAAGUUGUUUAGCUUGUUUAGAUCUACAUUUUGGUAUGAUUUCAGUAAUUUCUGGUUUUGUGUUCUUGAGAAUGUUGCUUGAGUAGUGAUUAGGGUUCUUGAGGAUGGAUUAGAUUAGGGUAAUCUCUAUGUUAGUUAGGUGGUUAGUGUUUAGGUUAAUACCCUUCUGGAUUCGCUUGGCCCCUAUGCGGUUUUCGUUGGCUAAUGUGGAGAUUCGAUUAUAGACGUCCAGCGUCCAAAAGACGUUCAAAUGGAUGUCUAACCUACAAAUUUUAGAGAUUUGUAGACUCGACCCAGAGAUUGGCUUGUCUGGCUAUUGGCUUUGGUAGAUUGUUUCUUAAACCUUGAUCUGCUAUGUUU